CCUACGGGAGGCUGCAGUCGAGAAUCAUUCACAAUGGGGGAAACCCUGAUGGUGCGACGCCGCGUGGGGGAAUGAAGGUCUUCGGAUUGUAAACCCCUGUCAUGUGGGAGCAAAUUAAAAAGAUAGUACCACAUGAGGAAGAGACGGCUAACUCUGUGCCAGCAGCCGCGGUAAUACAGAGGUCUCAAGCGUUGUUCGGAAUCACUGGGCGUAAAGCGUGCGUAGGCUGUUUCGUAAGUCGUGUGUGAAAGGCGCGGGCUCAACCCGCGGACGGCACAUGAUACUGCGAGACUAGAGUAAUGGAGGGGGAACCGGAAUUCUCGGUGUAGCAGUGAAAUGCGUAGAUAUCGAGAGGAACACUCGUGGCGAAGGCGGGUUCCUGGACAUUAACUGACGCUGAGGCACGAAGGCCAGGGGAGCGAAAGGGAUUAGAUACCCGUGUAGUC
This 446-nucleotide ribosomal RNA is filed under the name uncultured bacterium. RNAcentral's name for it is "partial 16S ribosomal RNA". It matches the Rfam family "Bacterial small subunit ribosomal RNA", at positions 338 to 795 of the family's 1533-position model. The record is from RNAcentral.